CUUUUAUGUACAUGUAUAUACUUUAAGACUGUUAAUGGUGGUAUUUUUAAUUUUUUUAAUUUUAUUUUUGAAGUUUUGACAUUGUCAACAGAUAUUUCUUUAUACAAGACAAUGAAGAAUAUCUACAAGUGUGUAUACAAUGUACAAUUGUGUAUUACAUGUAUUAGUUUGAACAAAAUUAGGGAACAUAACUUCUGACAACCUCCUUCGAGAUUACAAGAUUCUUAAGGGAAAAAAAUCAUUCAUUUGAAGAUAUGCUGUAUUUAUUUUCUGUAUAUACAGAAAAUAAAUACAGCAUAAGAUGUGUUCAUCAGAUUUAUACAUAUAUCUGUUAAAUUUGAGCAUUUAUGUAAUUACUAGAGUGGGGCCCAUAUUUGCCGGGGACACAAUUUCGCCGUUUUAUGAUUUUGAGGUGUUAACACUUCAAAGGAUGGCUGAAAUGGAAGAAAUAUAUGCCAAUAAAUUAUAAUUUUAUAACAAAUAUGAUUAUUUUUUAAACUUAAACAAAAUUACGGCACUUACUGCAAAAGAUCGAAAAACGGACAACGAUUUUCGGUCAAUUUCCUGAAUGAAAAAUAGGAUUUUCAUAGAUUUUUUUCUUAGCAUUUUUUUUGACUGAUUGGCCUAAAUUUCUGUUUUUUACACCUUUGAAAUGUCUGCUGUUCAUCUAUAAUGACAUUUAUUUGAUAGAUAUUACAUAAAGCUACAGUUAUUUGGUUUUAAAUAGAUGUGUAAAAACGGCGAAUAUGUGUCCCCCAUUGACAAAACUUCAGGAAAUUUCAAACACCUUUUAAUCUAACUUUACAGAUGAUUAUUUUCAAAUAAACAUGUUUUCAAGCUUAGGAAUGUUUUGCAUUUGAAGUUAUCUUCAUAUAGAAAUAUCAGUAUACUUCAAAAACAUAUAGACCUGAACAUAAACUGUAGAAAACAUGGAAAGAUAUGGCGAAAAUGAGCACCCCACUCUAGAUGGCUUCAUGACUUUUCAGAAAUGUGUUUAAUGCCAGCAAGGUAUACAUUUUGUACAUACAUAUCAGAUAUGAUAAGGUUUAAGUUGUGCCUUAGUAAUGUACUAGAUUUUUCUUUAGAUAGAAUGUUAAGCUUUGCAUGUCUCUUCUUAAAUAGCUCAUCAUAAGGAAUUUUAUUAUUUUUCUUAUGCUACUAAGCAAAUUUUAGUGAAUACUUACUAAUCCAGAGUAUAAUUUGAGUAGUCUGAGGCAUUUGACUAAUGACUUAUGGUACAGUCUUGUUAAAUCAUGUGCUCAUGUUUCCAUUCCAAAAAACCUAUUGAAAUUUGUUUAUUUUCAUGAUUUUGAUAUAAAAUUAAAAUUAAAAAAUUGAAGUUUGAAGUUGUAGAAUACAAAUUUUCCUGUCUAAUCUUUGUGAAAAUUAUGAUAAAUUGUGAUUAAGGCCAGGAAAUUUUAAAAUAAAGCCAGAAAAAGAGGCAAUAUUAGGGUCUUAUCAAUUUACUCCUUUGGGUCAUUUAUGUUCAUUGCUUGUCUAGCAAGUCCCAGCAAUUGCAGCUUUGUUUAGUUUUCACAUUUUUCAGCAUUCAUUCUCUCCAACAUCAUGAACUUGUUCCAUUUUAUUUGAAACAAGUUAAAUCAUCCUGGUAUAAUAUAAUAUAUAGUAUCAAAAGUAUGAUUUAUGUGUGGGUAUAUAGGGUUAAUUUGAAUUUCCUUUGAAAAGCAAUUUUUUUAUUACAGUUAAAAUAAUAAAGCAUGCAAACCAAGAGUUUGAUUGCCUUGCUUUCCAACUUUGGUUGUUUGCUCAGACAUUGUAAUUAAGAUUGACACCUUAAUUCAAUGGGUAAGUGGUGUUAUAGUCUGUUUACUAUACACAAAGGUUUGAUUGGUCAAUGAAUAUCCAAAUUGUAUCCAAUAUGUUACCCAUUGUCCAAUCAACUCUUUUUUAUAUAGUAAACAAACUGUUACUCUGCCUCUCCAUUGAAUUUAGGUGUCAAUAUUUAUUACAAUGCCUGAGUAAACAACCAAACAAAGUUUGCAAGCAAGACAUUUAAAUUCUUGGUUUGCGCAUGCUUUAUCAUUUUAACUGUAAAUGUGAAAAAUAGUUUCCAGGAGGCACUUUUUGAUUUUGUCCUAUCCUGCAGCCUGUUCACACAGAUUUUAUGAGUAGGAAGAAUAGAAUUCAUCAUAAAAGAUUUUUUUCUCGCUUAUUUUUCCUUGCAAAUUUUUACUUGGAAAAGAUGCACACCAUUUAGUUUUUUGCAUGACAACAUUCAUCAAACACAUAACAUUUAAUAACCUCUAGCUUAUAAGUUAAUAUUUUUUGUUUGGGCUUAUUUAAAAAGAUUGAAACUCAGAUGUUAAUUAUGAAUGUUAGAUUUUUACCUCAUGUUGAACAAAAUAGUUUUUGUGAUGUUGAAAAAUGUUUAUUGAUCUUCAUUAUUACUAUGUUGUGAAAGAAAACAGUAAAAGAAAUUUUAAAUGAAGUCUUGUAUUUGAACUUAAUUGAUCCAAUGAUUAUUCCAGAAAAACACAAACAACAGAUGCAGUUUGAACAAUAUGACUGCCAAUCACUUGAAAAUGGG
Molecule: long non-coding RNA, 2548 nt
Filed under: Mytilus galloprovincialis (Mediterranean mussel)
Lineage: Eukaryota; Metazoa; Mollusca; Bivalvia; Mytilida; Mytilidae
Source: RNAcentral